CAGGAAAUAGUUUAAAGUAGAAUUUUGGUUUUGGAUGCCAAUAGUGAGAAUAAAAAAUUUUCUUUUCUGA
Molecule: transfer RNA, 70 nt
Filed under: Chikila fulleri (Kuttal caecilian)
Lineage: Eukaryota; Metazoa; Chordata; Amphibia; Gymnophiona; Chikilidae
Description: tRNA-Pro
Rfam family: tRNA
About the family: Transfer RNA (tRNA) molecules are approximately 80 nucleotides in length.
Source: RNAcentral